GAUGAACGCUGACAGAAUGCUUAACACAUGCAAGUCAACUUGAACUUCGGUUUGGGUGGCGGACGGGUGAGUAACGCGUAAAGAACUUGCCUCACAGAUAGGGACAACAUUUGGAAACGAAUGCUAAUACCUGAUAUUAUGAUUUUAGGGCAUCCUAGAAUUAUGAAAGCUAUAUGCGCUGUGAGAGAGCUUUGCGCCCCAUUAGCUAGUUGGAGAGGUAACGGCUCACCAAGGCGAUGAUGGGUAGCCGGCCUGAGAGGGUGAUCGGCCACAAGGGGACUGAGACACGGCCCUUACUCCUACGGGAGGCAGCAGUGGGGAAUAUUGGACAAUGGACCAAGAGUCUGAUCCAGCAAUUCUGUGUGCACGAUGAAGUUUUUCGGAAUGUAAAGUGCUUUCAGUUGGGAAGAAAAAAAUGACGGUACCAACAGAAGAAGUGACGGCUAAAUACGUGCCAGCAGCCGCGGUAAUACGUAUGUCACAAGCGUUAUCCGGAUUUAUUGGGCGUAAAGCGCGUCUAGGUGGUUAUAUAAGUCUGAUGUGAAAAUGCAGGGCUCAACUCUGUAUUGCGUUGGAAACUGUGUAACUAGAGUACUGGGGAGGUAAGCGGAACUACAAGUGUAGAGGUGAAAUUCGUAGAUAUUUGUAGGAAUGCCGAUGGGGAAGCCAGCUUACUGGACAGAUACUGACGCUGAAGCGCGAAAGCGUGGGUAGCAAACAGG
Molecule: ribosomal RNA, 722 nt
Filed under: uncultured Fusobacterium sp.
Lineage: Bacteria; Fusobacteriati; Fusobacteriota; Fusobacteriia; Fusobacteriales; Fusobacteriaceae
Description: bacterial SSU rRNA
Rfam family: Bacterial small subunit ribosomal RNA
Source: RNAcentral